This is a long non-coding RNA of Poecilia reticulata (guppy), 997 nucleotides long. RefSeq lists it as uncharacterized. NCBI's taxonomy places the organism in Eukaryota, Metazoa, Chordata, Actinopteri, Cyprinodontiformes, Poeciliidae. The record is from RefSeq and is a predicted model, not a curated record.
CAGGGAGGGUUUGGGGGGGGAAUGUGCGACGUGGCAGGCGGCACAUCUGCGAAAUGCAAACGUCGAAUCUGGAUUUACUUACAAUCCACUGGUUACAUCAACAAGUGGACAGUGAUAUUGGUUUGAUUUUUGGCUCUAGUUUCCUUUAUUUGAAACUGCUAAGACGGAAAAGUAGGUAAAGAGAGACGGAAGACGUGCGGCAAAGGUCAUCAGGCCGGGAAUCGAACCUGCGACGGCCACGUCAAGGACUGAGGCUUUAACCCCUGCACAGCCACAGCAGCUCCUGCCUGUCAUUUUGUUGACUCUGAUUUUGUUGCUCGUUAUUGUCAUGUUUCUGGCCCGUCUGCCUGCUAUGUUUCUCUCCUCUGUACUCCUCAUCAAGCUCAUCUGGUUCACCUGCAUGCUGCUGCGCUGGAGCACAAUCAGACUCAUGCCUUCCACCUGUUCACCAGCAGUUAUAUUCAGCUCUCAGGCAGGCAGACGGUGCCAGAUUUUUGAAAGCCACCGAGUGAGUAGAUAUCCAGCGUUCUUCCUGACCUGACCACGAUCACGAACACAUUUUUGACCCUUGGAUUUUCCUGCCUUGCCUUGCCCACGUCGGAUUCUUCACUGGCUUCUGUUUUUUGGUCUCGACCCUGUUUCUGCCUUUUGACCUCUGCCUCCUGCCUCGCCCUUGGAUAUUGUCUGCCUGAGAUUGCCUGCUAGUACUGGACCCUUUUUCCGUGACCUGACCACUGCUCUUCGCCCAACCCUCAGAUACGUUUGUCUGGUCCUGCCUGCCCUAAACCCUGUGCCUCCCAGUCCUGUCCUUCCCUAGGUGUGCCACUUGUCUCUUCCACUGUGCUACCUGGAUCCCUCAUCCCCCACAACACCAGGAAGAGGUUCCUGUUCCUUGCUCGUGGUUCCCCGUCCCUAUACCUGGUCCUCAAUAAAGACCUUAUUGAUUUUUACUUUGUGUCUGACUGAAAUUUCGGGUCCUCAGGUCUGAACAUUACAG